UGUUAGGUGCAGAGUGUGCGGCCCG
Molecule: non-coding RNA, 25 nt
Filed under: Mus musculus (house mouse)
Lineage: Eukaryota; Metazoa; Chordata; Mammalia; Rodentia; Muridae
Source: RNAcentral